Molecule: ribosomal RNA, 253 nt
Filed under: uncultured bacterium
Lineage: Bacteria
Description: partial 16S ribosomal RNA
Rfam family: Bacterial small subunit ribosomal RNA
Source: RNAcentral
UACGGGGGGGGCAAGCGUUGUUCGGAAUUACUGGGCGUAAAGCGUGCGUAGACGGUUUCGUAAGUCGGGUGUGAAAUCCCCGGGCUCAACCUGGGAAUUGCAUUCGAAACUGCGAGGCUAGGGUACGGAAGAGGGAAGCGGAAUUUCUGGUGUAGCGGUGAAAUGCGUAGAUAUCAGAAGGAACAUCAGUGGCGAAAGCGGCUUCCUGGUCCAGUACCGACGUUCAGGCACGAAAGCGUGGGGAGCAAACAGG